UAAUAACAAUUUUAACAAGGUUGCCUUCAGAAAUUUUCCGGGGAAUCAGGUGACAAUCCUGAGCGGUCUCCGCCACUGUAACCGGGGAGGGCCCUUGCAUAUGCCACUUAUUUUGCGCAAAUAGGGAAGGCGCAAGGAACUCUGAAGAUCCGGGAGCCAGGAUACCCGACUGGAGGUGAACACAAUA
RNAcentral lists this non-coding RNA (187 nucleotides) under Thermincola sp. The record is from RNAcentral. Lineage: Bacteria; Bacillati; Bacillota; Clostridia; Eubacteriales; Thermincolaceae.